RNAcentral lists this ribosomal RNA (468 nucleotides) under uncultured bacterium. Its description in RNAcentral is "partial 16S ribosomal RNA". It matches the Rfam family "Bacterial small subunit ribosomal RNA", at positions 28 to 507 of the family's 1533-position model. The record is from RNAcentral.
GACGAACGCUGGCGGCGUGCUUAACACAUGCAAGUCGAACGGAAAGGCCCUGCUUGUGUGGGGUGCUCGAGUGGCGAACGGGUGAGUAACACGUGAGUGACCUGCCCUUGACUUUGGGAUAACUUCAGGAAACUGGGGCUAAUACCGGAUAGGAGCUCCUGCUGCAUGGUGGGGGUUGGAAAGUUUCGGCGGUUGGGGAUGGACUCGCGGCUUAUCAGCUUGUUGGUGGGGUAGUGGCUUACCAAGGCUUUGACGGGUAGCCGGCCUGAGAGGGUGACCGGCCACAUUGGGACUGAGAUACGGCCCAGACUCCUACGGGAGGCAGCAGUGGGGAAUAUUGCACAAUGGGCGGAAGCCUGAUGCAGCAACGCCGCGUGCGGGAUGACGGCCUUCGGGUUGUAAACCGCUUUCGCCUGUGACGAAGCGUGAGUGACGGUAAUGGGUAAAGAAGCACCGGCUAACUACGUG